CAUCAGGAGCCUUGUCUCUGCAUCCCCGAAUAUAGAAUCACAUGAAUGCACAGUGAUUCGCGAGAGAACCUCAAUCGCAACCCCAUGACUAACAGUUGACAUGAGCCCUUUAAGCACAAGAGGUUGCACCCCUUCAAAUGUAGGCAGACUCCCACUGGAUGAUGCUAGUGAAUCGAUUCGUUGAAAUUCCCCAAUGUCACCACCAGUAUCAAGCUCAUCACGAGGCAUGCUUGAAAGGAGCACAUUUUCUGUUGUUCUCUCCCGGAAUGAUAAACGGUCAAUCACACGUGAGAAGAGCUCAAGCACUUGACAAUAAACAUGAACAAAAUCUGUGUGCAUCAUGGCAACGCAUCCCCAGAAGAGUUGUGGGUAGAGGAUAACCUUUUCUGGUUCCAUAUUCUCUACCAUUACUUGUAAUGUCAACAAAAUUUCCAUGAUAAAUCCCAAGACUGGAGGCACUGGAUUUCCUAAGCACCUGUGGAGGCAUCUAAGGAGAGAUACACAUGUGUCACUUGUGACACUAGGCCGCAAUGCACGGUAGAUCUGGUGUGAGCGGCAUGCAAGAUGUCUUGAUGUGCACUCCAUGGCCCAUUUGAGUGCCUCAGCACCCCAAGUUUCACGUAGAUCUCCUUGGAAGAAGAUAGCAUCAACCAUACUCUGAACAAGUGCUGACAGAAGUGCUGCACUAGGAAGCUCCAUUCUUGUAACUGUGGGGUCCUCAUUCUCCCACAUCAUGCUCCCUCUCUUCGACUGAACAUAUUUUAUCAGGCUUACAACCUGCUGCUUGUUCUCUCCAUCACUGUUUUCUACCUCAUACAGUUCCAAGUGCCGGCCUGCAAGUGAGUAUAAUAGAUUGACAAGCAAAUGCUGACAGUGCUCUAGCACAAUAUCUUCUGAACUAUCCAUUGAAACAAAUGUGACGUGAAAAAGCAGAGGCAAGUGUUCGCGAAAAUCUUCAUCAUUCUCGUAUGCAAUUUCUGCCAGUAGAAUCAACGCUAUAUCUGCAUGAGUUAAUGAAUGCUGUUGAUGCCCCUGCAAUGCUGACUGAAGUUCUUUCGCACUAACACCAUGCAUACCAACUCCAGGAUGUAAACCAUCUUCACCAGAGUUUGGAGUGUCAAUCAGGUAAUCUCCACUAUCCCGAGAAACAUGGCGGCUCCGCAAACUUCCUGUUGAACUUCUAACUCCGAAUAUAGAAUCACAUGAAUGCACAGUGAUUCGCGAGAGAACCUCAAUCGCAACCCCAUGACUAACAGUUGACAUGAGCCCUUUAAGCACAAGAGGUUGCACCCCUUCAAAUGUAGGCAGACUCCCACUGGAUGAUGCUAGUGAAUCGAUUCGUUGAAAUUCCCCAAUGUCACCACCAGUAUCAAGCUCAUCACGAGGCAUGCUUGAAAGGAGCACAUUUUCUGUUGUUCUCUCCCGGAAUGAUAAACGGUCAAUCACACGUGAGAAGAGCUCAAGCACUUGACAAUAAACAUGAACAAAAUCUGUGUGCAUCAUGGCAACGCAUCCCCAGAAGAGUUGUGGGUAGAGGAUAACCUUUUCUGGUUCCAUAUUCUCUACCAUUACUUGUAAUGUCAACAAAAUUUCCAUGAUAAAUCCCAAGACUGGAGGCACUGGAUUUCCUAAGCACCUGUGGAGGCAUCUAAGGAGAGAUACACAUGUGUCACUUGUGACACUAGGCCGCAAUGCACGGUAGAUCUGGUGUGAGCGGCAUGCAAGAUGUCUUGAUGUGCACUCCAUGGCCCAUUUGAGUGCCUCAGCACCCCAAGUUUCACGUAGAUCUCCUUGGAAGAAGAUAGCAUCAACCAUACUCUGAACAAGUGCUGACAGAAGUGCUGCACUAGGAAGCUCCAUUCUUGUAACUGUGGGGUCCUCAUUCUCCCACAUCAUGCUCCCUCUCUUCGACUGAACAUAUUUUAUCAGGCUUACAACCUGCUGCUUGUUCUCUCCAUCACUGUUUUCUACCUCAUACAGUUCCAAGUGCCGGCCUGCAAGUGAGUAUAAUAGAUUGACAAGCAAAUGCUGACAGUGCUCUAGCACAAUAUCUUCUGAACUAUCCAUUGAAACAAAUGUGACGUGAAAAAGCAGAGGCAAGUGUUCGCGAAAAUCUUCAUCAUUCUCGUAUGCAAUUUCUGCCAGUAGAAUCAACGCUAUAUCUGCAUGAGUUAAUGAAUGCUGUUGAUGCCCCUGCAAUGCUGACUGAAGUUCUUUCGCACUAACACCAUGCAUACCAACUCCAGGAUGUAAACCAUCUUCACCAGAGUUUGGAGUGUCAAUCAGGUAAUCUCCACUAUCCCGAGAAACAUGGCGGCUCCGCAAACUUCCUGUUGAACUUCUAACUCCCAUCAAGGGGCCUGACAUGUUCACCAGUGCUGGAAGGAGCUGCCCUGAGCGUCCUGUGGUC
RNAcentral lists this long non-coding RNA (2410 nucleotides) under Jatropha curcas. RNAcentral's name for it is "long non-coding RNA (JCUR_LNC003013)". The record is from RNAcentral. Lineage: Eukaryota; Viridiplantae; Streptophyta; Magnoliopsida; Malpighiales; Euphorbiaceae.